This 431-nucleotide ribosomal RNA is filed under the name uncultured bacterium. RNAcentral's name for it is "partial 16S ribosomal RNA". It matches the Rfam family "Bacterial small subunit ribosomal RNA", at positions 29 to 507 of the family's 1533-position model. The record is from RNAcentral.
AACGAACGCUGGCGGCAGGCUUAACACAUGCAAGUCGAACGCCCCGCAAGGGGAGUUGCAGACGGGUGAGUAACGCGUGGGGACAUACCCACUUCUACGGAAUAGCCCUGGGAAACUGGAAUUAAUACCGUAUACGCCCUACGGUGGAAAGGAUUAUCGGGGAAGGAUUGGUUCGCGUUGGAUUAGCGAGUUGGUUGGGUAAAGGCGUACCAAGGCGACGAUCCAUAGCUGGGGUGAGAGGAUGAUCAGCCACAUUGGGGCUGAGACACGGCCCAAACUCCUACGGAAGGGGGGAGUGGGGAAUAUUGGACAAUGGGCUCAGGCCUGAUCCAGCCAUGCCGCGUAAGUGAUGAAGGCCUUAGGGUUGUAAAGCUCUUUCACCGAUGAAGAUAAUGACGGUAGUCGGAGAAGAAGCCCCGGCUAACUUCGUG